GAUGAACGCUGGCGGCGUGCCUAAUACAUGCAAGUCGAGCGAACAGACGAGGAGCUUGCUCCUCUGACGUUAGCGGCGGACGGGUGAGUAACACGUGGAUAACCUACCUAUAAGACUGGGAUAACUUCGGGAAACCGGAGCUAAUACCGGAUAAUAUAUUGAACCGCAUGGUUCAAUAGUGAAAGACGGUUUUGCUGUCACUUAUAGAUGGAUCCGCGCCGCAUUAGCUAGUUGGUAAGGUAACGGCUUACCAAGGCAACGAUGCGUAGCCGACCUGAGAGGGUGAUCGGCCACACUGGAACUGAGACACGGUCCAGACUCCUACGGGAGGCAGCAGUAGGGAAUCUUCCGCAAUGGGCGAAAGCUUGACGGAGCAACGCCGCGUGAGUAAUGAAGGUCUUCGGAUCGUAAAACUCUGUUAUUAGGGAAGAACAAAUGUGUAAGUAACUAUGCACGUCUUGACGGUACCUAAUCAGAAAGCCACGGCUAACUACGUG
Molecule: ribosomal RNA, 497 nt
Filed under: uncultured bacterium
Lineage: Bacteria
Description: partial 16S ribosomal RNA
Rfam family: Bacterial small subunit ribosomal RNA
Source: RNAcentral